UAAGUUUGGCUUUUAAUGUGUUAAACUUGCAUUAGAUAAGACAAUGUACCACUGAACACAGGAGGGAUUAUUGCUGAAAAUGGGUCUCUGAACACCUCUGUAGAUAUUCUAUUAAAAAUCAUUCAUGAUCUGUGAUCAGUGUUAAUAUUAAGCAUUUAUAUGAUUAUUUUGAUUAAUUGCUGUGAUUCAAUCUGAAACCAAAUUUGAGUCUAUUCAGAAAACAGGACAUUUCUAAUUCACUCCAGACUUUUGAGCUGUAGUCUACAUUGUAAUUAUAGUGUACGGUUAUUGAUUAGAGCAGAUGAUAUGAGACUAUCAGGAGAAACUGUUAAAAAGUUAUGAGCUGUCUUGAUGCAGAGAAAGUGGAGUUUGUCAUCCUUGAGCUGCUGGUAGGAUGAAUGAUGCUCUGGCUCUGUGGUCAAGUUCAGACAUAGGCUUUAAGCAACCAUGAGCCACUGAUAAGCGUGAUAGAUUAAUAAGCAUGUAUAAAGUGGACUUGUUAAACAGCUCUGAUAGGAGAAAGUCAAUGAGCACGCAAUAAAGUGGACUUGUUAGGGACAGUUUACCAUCAGUCUUGCUAAAGUUUAACUUCAUUUGUAUUUAAAGACAGACUUGAAAGAAAAUCUUAUUUGAAACUGCUGAUAAAAUCCAGGUCAGACACAGUUACAUGCAAACAUACAGUACACACUACUGCUCAAAGGUCAGAGGUCAGUUAGAAAAGUCUCUGAUUUUAAUAGAAAAUUGGCUUUAAUGUAAUAUCUCAUGAAGUGUAUCAGUAAUGUUUUCACAGCUUUAAUCAAAUCAUUCAUCAUCCAUAAGUUGUGAUGCAAAAAUGUCUGCAAGCGUGCAGGAGCCCAUUUUUAGAGACAAUCACUCCUGUGUUAUAAUGUUCAUUGAAGUUUCUCAGGUCAGAUGACCAAUAGAUGAUAAGAAAUAUACUCUUACUAAUUAUUAGAGUUGAAAAGUGCUUUGCUAAGCAAAAUUAAAUGAGGUUAGGUUGCAGCUUGAAAUUUUAACAUAAAAGGUUCAGUUGGUGAUGCAUGAAAGAAAAUAAUUUUCUUCUAAAAAUCUAUUGGAGAAUUCUGAUUGUAAGAAAUGAAAAAUAUUCAAAGAGUGAAACUGUUAAAAAAGUGAAGGUUUUGUGCAGCUGGGUGUUGCAGCCCCUUUACAGGAAAAUGUAAACUUGGUUUAAUGAGGUUAAAAACAAAAACUGGGAUGAUCCAGACACAUUUAUUCUUUCUUUAAUCACCACAAUAGUUUCAGUUUGUGCUAAAAUCUCUUAAAAAGCUGUUUCGAGUGAUAAGUUUGGCUUUUAAUGUGUUAAACUUGCAUUAGAUAAGACAAUGUACCACUGAACACAGGAGGGAUUAUUGCUGAAAAUGGGUCUCUGAACACCUCUGUAGAUAUUCUAUUAAAAAUCAUUCAUGAUCUGUGAUCAGUGUUAAUAUUAAGCAUUUAUAUGAUUAUUUUUGAUUAAUUGCUGUGAUUCAAUCUGAAACCAAAUUUGAGUCUAUUCAGAAAACAGGACAUUUCUAAUUCACUCCAGACUUUUGAGCUGUAGUCUACAUUGUAAUUAUAGUGUACGGUUAUUGAUUAGAGCAGAUGAUAUGAGACUAUCAAGAGAGACUGUUAAAAAGUUAUGAGCUGUCUUGAUGCAGAGAAAGUGGAGUUUGUCAUCCUUGAGCUGCUGGUAGGAUUGAAUGAUGCUCUGGCUCUGUGGUCAAGUUCAGACAUAGGCUUUAAGCAACCAUGAGCCACUGAUAAGCGUGAUAGAUUAAUAAGCAUGUAUAAAGUGGACUUGUUAAACAGCUCUGAUAGGAGAAAGUCAAUGAGCACGCAAUAAAGUGGACUUGUUAGGGACAGUUUACCAUCAGUCUUGCUAAAGUUGAACUUCAUUUGUAUUUAAAGACAGACUUUAAAGAAAAUUCUUAUUCGAAACUGGUGAUAAAAUCCAGGUCAGAUACAGUUACAUACAAGCAUACAGUACACACUACUGCUCAAAGGUCGGAGGUCAGUUAGAAAAGUCCCUGAUUUUAAUAGAAAAUUGGCUUUAAUGUAAUAUCUCAUGAAGUUUAUCAGUAAUGUUUUCACAGCUUUAAUCAAAUCAUUCAUCAUCCAUAAGUUGUGAUGCAAAAAUGUCUGCAAGCGUGCAGGAGCCCAUUUUUAGAGACAAUCACUCCUGUGUUAUAAUGUUCAUUGAAGUUUCUCAGGUCAGAUGACCAAUAGAUGAUAAGAAAUAUACUCUUACUAAUUAUUAGAGUUGAAAAGUGCUUUGCUAAGCAAAAUUAAAUGAGGUUAGGUUGCAGCUUGAAAUUUGGAGAAUGUGGAGUAAAUCUAUUGGAGUAAGUUUCACACAGUAGAAAUUUGUAUUUAUCGUUAAUAUUGUUUUUAUCCUGAUAUUAGUGUUUAUUUGUAAGUGUAGUUUUUGCAUGAUUUUAUUCUGUUUGUAUCGCUUGUUUUUAGUGUGUUAUUUUACAUCGUUUUAAUCCACUGUGCAUUGGCUGGGCAUGGGACAAAUUAGCUGAUAGUGUCACCUGCUGAGGCAUGGGUGUGUCCAGAGGUGUUCUUUCAGCUGUUUAAAGGACUUAUUAGAAGGAAGCAAGCUGAGCACUGGAAGGAGAGAGGCCCUAGAUAUGAAGAGGAAUGCAUGAAGCCCAGGUAGAAAAGAGGGAUCCGCUGCGUGAUCGUGGGGGGCGCGACGCCUCGUCUGGAGACUGACCGGUCAGCGCGGUGUGGCGACCCAGUACCGACAGCAGGAACGGCGACAGUAGGAGACAACGCUUGUGAUUGACAGCAGGGCAGAUGUAUACCUGUGCCUGCAUUCGGCGAUGACGUGAGGGGAGCCGCGGUGGUAUCGAGCGGCGGACUCCAAUGCAGAAUGCGAACUGUGCUGGGAUGUGAUGGGCCCAGUGGAGGGACGAGACUGGGAUAGGAGGCUCCUCAUCUGCCUGGCACGAGGCUGGCGUGGACCCCGCUCCGCAAGAGGAAUUUCUGUCCAGCUCAAGAACACACAGGGGAUAUUCGUCCUGGGUUGUGGGACUGGGUGGGAUUUUUGUGCAUGAAGAGAAUUGUAUUUUUACCAGUUUUAGAACAAUUUCAUCUGGUCUCGGUGGGAAUUUUAGCAUAUUGAGAAUAUUUUAUUGUAUACUUUUUUCUUAGUAUCUGGUUUGUUUUAUUCCUGCUGUCCACCUCGUGGAAUAAACAGUUUCUGAUCAGACAAUCACUUCUGUGUUAUAAUGUUAACGGAAGUUUAUCAGGUCAGAUGGCCAAUGGAUGAUAAGAAAUAUACUCUUAGCAAUUAUUAGAGUUGAAAAGUAGUUUGCUAAGCAACAAGUACUAAAUCGGGUUAGGUUGAGGCUUAAUCCUUCACCUUAACUGGCUCAGAUGGUCUCUAAAUGGAUGAAUGAAACAAUACUUAACUUCCAAAAACAAUAUUUUAGUCAGGGCUAGCGGAAAGUUUCAUAAAUAUCAUUAAUAUGUAUCUUCUCUGUCUUCCUAUAGUUUCGUUUCAUUUUCUUACCCCACCCCCAACCGGUCGAGGCAGAUGGCCGCCCCCUGAGCCUGGUUCUGCCGAAAAUGGAGUUCUUCCUUCCCACUGUUGCCAAAUGCUUCGUCAUAGGGGAUCAUUUGAUUGUUGGGCCUUUCUCUGUAUUAUUGCACAACCUUUAUCUUACCAUGUAUUGCAAGUUUAUAUGUUGUGAAUUGUCUUAAUUUAAAUCAAAUUGAACUGCAUUCAAUUAAAACUAAAUAUAACUUGUAAUCAAAUGUGAAGUCUUCUCACUCAAUUUGGACAACUAGCACUGAAAAAUACAC
Long non-coding RNA from Oreochromis aureus, 3813 nucleotides. The record is from Ensembl. NCBI's taxonomy places the organism in Eukaryota, Metazoa, Chordata, Actinopteri, Cichliformes, Cichlidae.